This 465-nucleotide ribosomal RNA is filed under the name uncultured bacterium. Its description in RNAcentral is "partial 16S ribosomal RNA". It matches the Rfam family "Bacterial small subunit ribosomal RNA", at positions 338 to 795 of the family's 1533-position model. The record is from RNAcentral.
CCUACGGGUGGCAUCAGUGGGGAAUCUUGCGCAAUGGGCGAAAGCCUGACGCAGCGACGCCGCGUGAGGGAUGAAGGUCUUAGGAUCGUAAACCUCUGUCAGCAGGGACGCCCGGUCCCUGUGCUCCUCAGCAGUGAAUUGACGGUACCUGCAAAGGAAGCACCGGCGAACUCCGUUCCAGCCGCCGCGGUCCUCCGGCGGGUGCCCGCGUUCCUCGGCCUGACUGGGCGUACCGCGCGCGUCGUCGGUAUUGCAAGUCAAGGGUGAAAUCCCCGCGCUCAACGUGGGAACUGCCUUUGAAACUGGCAAACUGGAGUGUGUGAGAGGAUAGUGGAAUUCCAGGUGGAGGAGUGAAAUCCGUAGAUAUCUGGAGGAACAUCAGUGGCGAAGGCGACUAUCUGGCACAUAACUGACGCUGAGGAGCGAAAGCGUGGGUAGCAAACAGGAUUAGAGACCCUGGUAGUC